GGCUUCAGUGGCUUGCGCGGUCGACCGUGCAUUUUUAAUUCUUAAUUUUCUUUUUAUUUUGUUUUGUACAAGAUAAAAGGUUUCUUAGCAGAAAGGUUUUCGAUUUUCGAACUGAGAGGCAAGUUAAUCGAGGCUAGCAAGGCAAGUUACGCGAGGAUAGCAAAGCAAGACGAGACGACUCAAAUUGCAUGAAUUUGCUUGCAGAUCAUGGGAUUUUUCCCCGGAACCUGGGCCGCCAAGGGCCUCUCGGAUCUUUUUAUAGAGAGGCAGCUCAUUUGAAGCCCAC
Molecule: long non-coding RNA, 286 nt
Filed under: Citrus maxima (pomelo)
Lineage: Eukaryota; Viridiplantae; Streptophyta; Magnoliopsida; Sapindales; Rutaceae
Description: long non-coding RNA (CMAX_LNC001555)
Source: RNAcentral